GACGAACGCUGGCGGCGUGCCUAAUACAUGCAAGUAGAACGAUGAAGGGGGAGCUUGCUCUUCUGGAUGAGUUGCGCAUGGGUGAGUAACUCGUAGGUAACCUGCCCGGUAGCGGGGGAUAACUAUUAGAAACGAUAGCUAAUACCGCAUAAGAGUAGAUGUUGCAUGACAUUUGCUUUAAUGGUGCAUUUGCAUCACUACCAGAUGGACCUGGGUUGUAUUAGCUAGGUGGUGGGGUAACGGCUCACCAAGGCGACGAUACAUAGACGACCUUAGAGGGUGAACGGGUACAUUGUGUGUGAGACACGGCCCAGACACCGACACGGGGCAGCAGUAGGGACUUCUCCGGAAUGGAGGAGAGACUGACCGAGCAACGUGGCGUGAGGGCUGAUGGUGUUCGGAUCGUAAAGGUCUGUUGUAAGUGAAGAACGAGUGUGAGAGUGGAAAGUUCAAACUGUGACUGUAUCUUACCAGAAAGGGACGGCUAACUACGUG
This 495-nucleotide ribosomal RNA is filed under the name uncultured bacterium. Its description in RNAcentral is "partial 16S ribosomal RNA". It matches the Rfam family "Bacterial small subunit ribosomal RNA", at positions 28 to 507 of the family's 1533-position model. The record is from RNAcentral.